CAGUAGUGUUUAUCAUCCGGGAAAAAGCACCAACUGUUGGUUGAGUGCCAGCUGUUUGUCUAGCACUGUUCUUCAUUUGAUGUGUAUUGAGAAGCUUUCUCUCCCUGGCCCUGGCUUCACUGGAGUUGGACUCCGUACUACACAGAGAAUAUGCCAGCUUAUGGCAGAAGGUGCGCUAAUGAGCCCAAGCUGAAGUUUCGAGUAAGCAGAAUCCAGGCGAAGAGGAACAAGAUCUUCAGAGUCAAGUAGUUCCUCUGGCCAAAGCCCCACCUUGGGCCCACCAGCUAUCACCUGGUCUGUUUGCUGAAAAUUCUGUCAGUGACCCCAUGAUGCGGAAUCUGCUUGCUACAUCUGGAGGCAAGAAAAGCUCCAGCC
Molecule: long non-coding RNA, 375 nt
Organism: Cynocephalus volans (Philippine flying lemur)
Lineage: Eukaryota; Metazoa; Chordata; Mammalia; Dermoptera; Cynocephalidae
Exons: 3
Source: RefSeq, a predicted model, not a curated record